This 254-nucleotide ribosomal RNA is filed under the name uncultured bacterium. Its description in RNAcentral is "partial 16S ribosomal RNA". It matches the Rfam family "Bacterial small subunit ribosomal RNA", at positions 524 to 776 of the family's 1533-position model. The record is from RNAcentral.
GACGAAGGGGGCUAGCGUUGCUCGGAAUCACUGGGCGUAAAGCGCACGUAGGCGGCUUCUUAAGUCAGGGGUGAAAUCCUGGAGCUCAACUCCAGAACUGCCUUUGAUACUGGGAAGCUUCGAGUCCGGAAGAGGUGAGUGGAACUGCGAGUGUAGAGGUGAAAUUCGUAGAUAUUCGCAAGAACACCAGUGGCGAAGGCGGCUCACUGGUCCGGUACUGACGCUGAGGUGCGAAAGCGUGGGGAGCAAACAGG